CCUACGGGUGGCAGCAGUGAGGAAUAUUGGUCAAUGGGCGCGAGCCUGAACCAGCCAAGUAGCGUGAAGGAUGACUGCCCUACGGGUUGUAAACUUCUUUUGUACAAGGGUAAACCUGAAUACGUGUAUUCAGCUGAAAGUACUGUACGAAUAAGGAUCGGCUAACUCCGUGCCAGCAGCCGCGGUAAUACGGAGGAUCCGAGCGUUAUCCGGAUUUAUUGGGUUUAAAGGGAGCGUAGAUGGGUUGUUAAGUCAGUUGUGAAAGUUUGCGGCUCAACCGUAAAAUUGCAAUUGAUACUGGCAGUCUUGAGUACAGUUGAGGUAGGCGGAAUUCGUGGUGUAGCGGUGAAAUGCUUAGAUAUCACGAAGAACUCCGAUUGCGAAGGCAGCUUACUAAACUGCCACUGACAUUGAUGCUCGAAAGUGUGGGUAUCAAACAGGAUUAGAUACCCUUGUAGUC
Molecule: ribosomal RNA, 460 nt
Filed under: uncultured bacterium
Lineage: Bacteria
Description: partial 16S ribosomal RNA
Rfam family: Bacterial small subunit ribosomal RNA
Source: RNAcentral